AGGUUAAGUUAACAAGGGCGCAUGGUGAAUGCCUUGGCACUAGGAGCCGAUGAAGGACGGGACUAACACCGAUAUGCUUCGGGGAGCUGUACGUAAGCUAUGAUCCGGAGAUUUCCGAAUGGGGCAACCCAGCAGUUUUAAUCAACUGUUACCACUAGAUGAAUUCAUAGUCUAGUUGGAGGUAAACGCUGUGAACUGAAACAUCUCAUUAGCAGCAGGAAUAUAAAGAAAUUUCGAUUCCCUAAGUAGCGGCGAGCGAACGGGGAACAGCCCAAACCAAAGUGCUUGCACUUUGGGGUUGUAGGACUGAACAUUUGAGUUACCAAAGAACUUGAUAGUCGAAGGAUUUGGGAAAAUCCGCCAUAGAUGGUGAUAGCCCAGUAGAUUAAAUCAAAUUCUCUCAGUUCAGGAUCCUGAGUACGGCGGAACACGUGAAAUUCCGUCGGAAUCCGGGAGGACCAUCUCCCAAGGCUAAAUACUACCUAGUGACCGAUAGUGAACCAGUACCGUGAGGGAAAGGUGAAAAGCACCCCGGGAGGGGAGUGAAAUAGUUCCUGAAACCAUGUGCCUACAAUAAGUCAGAGCGCGUUAAUGCGUGAUGGCGUGCCUUUUGUAGAAUGAACCGGCGAGUUAUGAUCCCGUGCAAGGUUAAGACUAAAAAGUCGGAGCCGUAGCGAAAGCGAGUCUGAAAUGGGCGAUUUGAGUACGAGGUUAUAGACCCGAAACCAGGUGACCUAUCCAUGUCCAGGUUGAAGGUGCGGUAAAACGCACUGGAGGACCGAACCCGUGUAAGUUGAAAAUUGCUGGGAUGAGGUGUGGAUAGCGGUGAAAUUCCAAACGAACUUGGAGAUAGCUGGUUCUCUCCGAAAUAGCUUUAGGGCUAGCCUCGGAUUAAGGAUCAUGGAGGUAGAGCACUAUUUGGACUAGGGGCCCGUCUUGGGUUACUGAAUUCAGAUAAACUCCGAAUGCCAUUGAUUCAUGUCCGGGAGUCAGACGAUGAGUGAUAAGAUCCACCGUCGAAAGGGGAACAGCCCAGAUCAUCAGUUAAGGUCCCUAAAUGUAUGCUAAGUGGAAAAGGAUGUGGAGUUGCAUAGACAACUAGGAUGUUGGCUCAGAAGCAGCCACCAUUUAAAGAGUGCGUAAUAGCUCACUAGUCGAGUGAUCCUGCGCCGAAAAUGUACCGGGGCUAAGCAUACUACCGAAACCAUGGAUGCGACCAUUAGGUCGCGUGAUAGGAGAGCGUUCUAAGGGCGGUGAAGCAAGAUCGUGAGGACUUGUGGAGCGCUUAGAAGUGAGAAUGCCGGUAUGAGUAGCGAAAGAUAGGUGAGAAUCCUAUCCACCGAAUGACUAAGGUUUCCUGGGGAAGGCUCGUCCUCCCAGGGUUAGUCGGGACCUAAGUCGAGGCCGAGAGGCGUAGACGAUGGAUAACAGGUUGAGAUUCCUGUACUAGUUAAGUGCGUUUGAGCAAUGGAGGGACGCAGGAGGCUAAGAUGUGCAUUCUGUUGGAUUAGAAUGUCCAAGCAGUAAGUCUUGUGGAGAGUCAAAUGCUUUUCACUUUAAGGACAAGCUGUGAUGGGGAGCGAAAUUUAGUAGCGAAGCGUCUGAUGUCACACUGCCGAGAAAAGCUUCUAGUGAGUACUUAACUACCCGUACCGCAAACCGACACAGGUAGUCGAGGAGAGAAUCCUAAGGUGAGCGAGUGAACUCUCGUUAAGGAACUCGGCAAAAUGACCCCGUAACUUCGGGAGAAGGGGUGCUGAUCGCAAGAUCAGCCGCAGUGAAUAGGCCCAGGCGACUGUUUAUCAAAAACACAGGUCUCUGCAAAAUCGUAAGAUGACGUAUAGGGGCUGACGCCUGCCCGGUGCUGGAAGGUUAAAAGGAUGGGUUAGCUUCGGCGAAGCUCAGAAUUGAAGCCCCAGUAAACGGCGGCCGUAACUAUAACGGUCCUAAGGUAGCGAAAUUCCUUGUCGGGUAAGUUCCGACCCGCACGAAAGGCGUAACGAUCUGGGCACUGUCUCAACGAGAGACUCGGUGAAAUUAUAUUGUCCGUGAAGAUGCGGACUACCCGCGACAGGACGGAAAGACCCCAUGGAGCUUUACUGUAGCUUGAUAUUGAGUGUUUGUACAGCUUGUACAGGAUAGGUAGGAGCCAUAGAAACCGGAACGCUAGUUUCGGUGGAGGCGUUGGUGGGAUACUACCCUCGCUGUAUGACCACUCUAACCCGCACCACUAAUCGUGGUGGGAGACAGUGUCAGGUGGGCAGUUUGACUGGGGCGGUCGCCUCCUAAAAAGUAACGGAGGCGCCCAAAGGUUCCCUCAGAAUGGUUGGAAAUCAUUCGCAGAGUGUAAAGGCACAAGGGAGCUUGACUGCGAGACAGACAGGUCGAGCAGGGACGAAAGUCGGGCUUAGUGAUCCGGUGGUACCGUAUGGAAGGGCCAUCGCUCAACGGAUAAAAGCUACCCUGGGGAUAACAGGCUUAUCUCCCCCAAGAGUCCACAUCGACGGGGAGGUUUGGCACCUCGAUGUCGGCUCAUCGCAUCCUGGGGCUGUAGUCGGUCCCAAGGGUUGGGCUGUUCGCCCAUUAAAGCGGUACGCGAGCUGGGUUCAGAACGUCGUGAGACAGUUCGGUCCCUAUCCGUCGCGGGCGUAGGAAAUUUGAGAGGACCUGUCCUUAGUACGAGAGGACCGGGAUGGACAUACCUCUGGUGUACCAGUUGUGCCGCCAGGCGCAUCGCUGGGUAGCUACGUAUGGAUGUGAUAAACGCUGAAAGCAUCUAAGUGUGAAACACACCUCGAGAUGAGAUUUCCCAUUCCUUUAUGGAAGUAAGACCCCUGAAAGAUGAUCAGGUAGAUAGGUUAGAAGUGGCAGUGCGGUGACGCAUGAAGCGGACUAAUACUAAUCGGUCGAGGACUUAACCAAG
Molecule: ribosomal RNA, 2923 nt
Filed under: Lactiplantibacillus pentosus
Lineage: Bacteria; Bacillati; Bacillota; Bacilli; Lactobacillales; Lactobacillaceae
Description: bacterial LSU rRNA
Rfam family: Bacterial large subunit ribosomal RNA
Source: RNAcentral